RNAcentral lists this transfer RNA (75 nucleotides) under Brycon orbignyanus. Its description in RNAcentral is "tRNA-Leu". It matches the Rfam family "tRNA". Rfam says of the family: Transfer RNA (tRNA) molecules are approximately 80 nucleotides in length. The record is from RNAcentral. Lineage: Eukaryota; Metazoa; Chordata; Actinopteri; Characiformes; Bryconidae.
GCUAGGGUGGCAGAGCCCGGUAAUUGCAAAAGACCUAAGCCCUUUACCUCAGGGGUUCAAAUCCCCUCCCUAGCU